UCACACAAGCAGUGGAGUAUGUGGCUAAUUCGAGGCUACGCGAAAUACCUUACCUAGGCUUGACAUGCAAGGAUUAGCCGGCGGAAACGUCGGUAACGCCGCAAGGUGGAACUUGCACAGGUGCUGCAUGGCUGUCGUCAGCUCGUGCCGUGAGGUGUUGGGUUAAGUCCCGUAACGAGCGAAACCCUUGUGUCCAGUUGCCAGCGCGUAAAGGCGGGGACUCUGGACAGACCGCCGGUAUUAAACCGGAGGAAGGCGGGGACGACGUCAAGUCAUCAUGGCCCUUAUGCCUAGGGCUGCACACGUACUACAAUGGGCCGGACAAAGCGACGCGAGACCGCGAGGUGGAGCAAAUCGCAAAAACCGUCCCCCAGUUCAGAUUGGACUCUGCAAUUCGAGUCCAUGAAGUUGGAAUUGCUAGUAAUCGCGGAUCAGCAUUGCCGCGGUGAAUGUGUUCCUGAGCCUU
RNAcentral lists this ribosomal RNA (466 nucleotides) under uncultured Planctomycetaceae bacterium. RNAcentral describes it as "bacterial SSU rRNA". It matches the Rfam family "Bacterial small subunit ribosomal RNA", at positions 921 to 1382 of the family's 1533-position model. Lineage: Bacteria; Pseudomonadati; Planctomycetota; Planctomycetia; Planctomycetales; Planctomycetaceae. The record is from RNAcentral.